GACGAACGCUGGCGGCGUGCCUAAUACAUGCAAGUUGAGCGAUGAAGAUUGGUGCUUGCACCAAUUUGAAGAGCAGCGAACGGGUGAGUAACGCGUGGGGAAUCUGCCUUUGAGCGGGGGACAACAUUUGGAAGCGAAUGCUAAUACCGCAUAACAACUUUAAACAUAAGUUUUAAGUUUGAAAGAUGCAAUUGCAUCACUCAAAGAUGAUCCCGCGUUGUAUUAGCUAGUUGGUGAGGUAAAGGCUCACCAAGGCGAUGAUACAUAGCCGACCUGAGAGGGUGAUCGGCCACAUUGGGACUGAGACACGGCCCAAACUCCUACGGGGGGCAGCAGUAGGGAAUCUUCGGCAAUGGAAGAAAGUCUGACCGAGCAACGCCGCGUGAGUGAAGAAGGGUUUCGGAUCGUAAAACUCUGUUGGUAGAGAAGAACGUUGGUGAGAGUGGAAAGCUCAUCAAGUGACGGUAACUACCCAGAAAGGGACGGCUAACUACGUG
Molecule: ribosomal RNA, 497 nt
Filed under: uncultured bacterium
Lineage: Bacteria
Description: partial 16S ribosomal RNA
Rfam family: Bacterial small subunit ribosomal RNA
Source: RNAcentral